RNAcentral lists this ribosomal RNA (426 nucleotides) under uncultured bacterium. Its description in RNAcentral is "bacterial SSU rRNA". It matches the Rfam family "Bacterial small subunit ribosomal RNA", at positions 354 to 796 of the family's 1533-position model. The record is from RNAcentral.
GUCGGGAAUAUUGGUCAAUGGGCGCAAGCCUGAACCAGCAACGCCGCGUGCACGAUGAAGGCCUUCGGGUCGUAAAGUGCUUUUCGGGAGGAUGAGGAAGGACAGUACUCCCGGAAUAAGUCACGGCUAACUACGUGCCAGCAGCCGCGGUAAAACGUAGGUGACAAGCGUUAUCCGGAUUUACUGGGCGUAAAGCGCGUGCAGGCGGCUUGGCAAGUCGGGCAUGAAAUCUUUCGGCUUAACCGGGAGAGGCUGUCCGAUACUGCUAGGCUUGAGGGCAGUAGAGGGUGGUGGAAUUCCGCAUGUAGUGGUGAAAUGCGUAGAUAUGCGGAGGAACACCAGUGGCGAAGGCGGCCACCUGGACUGCUCCUGACGCUGAAGCGCGAAAGCUAGGGUAGCGAACGGGAUUAGAAACCCCUGUAGUCC